RNAcentral lists this transfer RNA (73 nucleotides) under Mustela putorius furo (domestic ferret). It matches the Rfam family "tRNA". Rfam says of the family: Transfer RNA (tRNA) molecules are approximately 80 nucleotides in length. Lineage: Eukaryota; Metazoa; Chordata; Mammalia; Carnivora; Mustelidae. The record is from Rfam by way of RNAcentral.
AUCUAGCUGGUUCAGCCAGUAGAGCAUGAGACUCUUUAUCUCAGGGUCAUGAGUUCGAGCCCCAUGCCAUGUG